GAUGAACGCUGGCGGCGUGCCUAAUACAUGCAAGUCGAGCGAACGGACGAGAAGCUUGCUUCUCUGAUGUUAGCGGCGGACGGGUGAGUAACACGUGGAUAACCUACCUAUAAGACUGGGAUAACUUCGGGAAACCGGAGCUAAUACCGGAUAAUAUUUUGAACCGCAUGGUUCAAAAGUGAAAGACGGUCUUGCUGUCACUUAUAGAUGGAUCCGCGCUGCAUUAGCUAGUUGGUAAGGUAACGGCUUACCAAGGCAACGAUGCAUAGCCGACCUGAGAGGGUGAUCGGCCACACUGGAACUGAGACACGGUCCAGACUCCUACGGGAGGCAGCAGUAGGGAAUCUUCCGCAAUGGGCGAAAGCCUGACGGAGCAACGCCGCGUGAGUGAUGAAGGUCUUCGGAUCGUAAAACUCUGUUAUUAGGGAAGAACAUAUGUGUAAGUAACUGUGCACAUCUUGACGGGACCUAAUCAGAAAGCCACGGCUAACUACG
Molecule: ribosomal RNA, 495 nt
Filed under: uncultured bacterium
Lineage: Bacteria
Description: partial 16S ribosomal RNA
Rfam family: Bacterial small subunit ribosomal RNA
Source: RNAcentral